GCACUGCAAGAGUGCUCGUCGUACAUGAAAUGGGAACUCAGAGCAGCUGCAAGGAAGGUCAUCUGAAACUGAAGUGCUGGCUUCUUAACCAUUGUUUUGGGGAUCAAGCAAUGAAAAAUAUAAACUCGAGAAUACUGAAAUCAAGCACAGCGACUUCAGCAGGGGAAAGGUGGGUCCUACGUCAAUCCCCCAAGAGAUGCUGGUAAAAUCAUAAAGAGAGUUUGCCCAGUAAAAGGUUUGCUACUGAAGCCAAAGUGCAGUCUCACUUCAAGACCAG
Molecule: long non-coding RNA, 277 nt
Organism: Oxyura jamaicensis (ruddy duck)
Lineage: Eukaryota; Metazoa; Chordata; Aves; Anseriformes; Anatidae
Exons: 3
Source: RefSeq, a predicted model, not a curated record